UUCGCAAUGCCCGAAAGGGUGACGAAGCGACGCCGCGUGGGUGAGGAAGGCCUUCGGGUUGUAAAGCCCUGUCAGGAGUUAAGAAAUGUAAGUGCGCUAAUAUCGCAUUUAUUUGACGAAGGCUCCAAAAGAAGUCACGGCUAACUCUGUGCCAGCAGCCGCGGUAAUACAGAGGUGGCAAGCGUUGUUCGGAAUUAUUGGGCGUAAAGAGCACGUAGGUGGGUUUGUAAGUCAGAUGUGAAAGCCUUCUGUUCAACGGAAGAAUUGCAUCUGAAACUGCGAGUCUUGAGUGUAGGAGGGGAGAAUGGAACUUCUGGUGGAGCGGUGAAAUGCGUAGAUAUCAGAAGGAACGCCGGCGGCGAAAGCGAUUCUCUGGCCUAUUACUGACACUCAGUGUGCGAAAGCUAGGGGAGCAAACGGGAUUAGAUACCCCGGUAGUCCUAGCCGUAAACGAUGGGCACUAAGUAGAGGGGUUUU
RNAcentral lists this ribosomal RNA (477 nucleotides) under Candidatus Scalindua brodae. RNAcentral describes it as "bacterial SSU rRNA". It matches the Rfam family "Bacterial small subunit ribosomal RNA", at positions 365 to 832 of the family's 1533-position model. Lineage: Bacteria; Pseudomonadati; Planctomycetota; Candidatus Brocadiia; Candidatus Brocadiales; Candidatus Scalinduaceae. The record is from RNAcentral.